GACGAGGUGGCCGAGUGGUUAAGGCGAUGGACUGUUAAUCCAUUGAGCUCUGCCCGCGUGGGUUCGAAUUCCGUCCAUGUCG
This 82-nucleotide transfer RNA is filed under the name Araneus ventricosus. It matches the Rfam family "tRNA". Rfam says of the family: Transfer RNA (tRNA) molecules are approximately 80 nucleotides in length. Their secondary structure includes four short double-helical elements and three loops (D, anti-codon, and T loops). Lineage: Eukaryota; Metazoa; Arthropoda; Arachnida; Araneae; Araneidae. The record is from Rfam by way of RNAcentral.